This 72-nucleotide ribosomal RNA is filed under the name Talinum fruticosum. Its description in RNAcentral is "partial 28S ribosomal RNA". Lineage: Eukaryota; Viridiplantae; Streptophyta; Magnoliopsida; Caryophyllales; Talinaceae. The record is from RNAcentral.
GCGACCCCAGGUCAGGCGGGGCUACCCGCUGAGUUUAAGCAUAUCAAUAAGCCGGAGAACCUGCGGAAGGAU